Cavia porcellus (domestic guinea pig) is the source of this 925-nucleotide long non-coding RNA. RefSeq lists it as uncharacterized. Lineage: Eukaryota; Metazoa; Chordata; Mammalia; Rodentia; Caviidae. The transcript is spliced from 5 exons. The record is from RefSeq and is a predicted model, not a curated record.
GGAAAAGGAACAAAGCUGCGCAGCCUGGGUCUGCAGGAGGAAAAAUAUGGUUUCAGGGCAAGAAGAGAGAACUGGACGGUGAUGAAAACCGCGCCGCUGAGCCAGAGAAAAGAGCUAGAGACUAAGAAAACAGAAGGAGAUGCUGGAGACCUGAAAUGUAAUCUGAAGUCUUAGGAAUAUAAAAUGUGGGGAGCCUGUAACCUUUCUAUAACUAUGAACGGAGACCAUCUGAGAAUGAGAGCAACAUACAGAAGAGAGAGGAGCUGACGUGAGACCAGGUCCUGGAGACAUUUCCAGAGCACCUGUGUGAAGCAACAGGCAAAGCCUCUUGGCUGACUUAAUCUGCACAGUUUCCAAGACAUUUGGAAGGUUCUUGACAGUGAAAAGAAAUACUGAAGGAAGUUGAGCCCUGCUUUAUCCAGCAAAAGGUUAUAUUUACCUACAUACUCACGAGCUAACUGGGGAGAGAAAAACUGUAUUCAAUUCUUGGGCAUAUUUCUAAUAAAAUUUCAGUUCUCAAAGAGGAGGAGAACAUGGCGGACAGACAACAGCAACUACCGAAGGCUCUCUGGAAGACUCGGCUCAGAGGCCAGGAAUGAUGCGGACUAAGGAGUCACGAACCAGUAGAGAUAUGCUCUGCUGACUCAGGAACGAACUGGGCUGAGAGACACCAACUUAAAAUAUAGUCCUGGCGCUAAAAUAGGAACAGAAAAGGCUCGGUGUGGAGGCUCGACUACGCGCCAUUGGAAACCGCGAUUUGGGUAUCCCGCUGCGAUUUGGGUUUCCCGCCGCCCGGCGGCUGGCUGCCUCCACAAGCGGCUCGGCAAGGAGAGACGCGCAGAAGCUCGGGAACGGGAGUCUGCGAACGGAGUCGAAAACAGGACGGACAAGAAGGCGUACACGAAAACUGACUGGUGGAGAGGUG